GGCGGGAACCCUCAGCAGCGGCUUGACAAUCGAAGAACUUGCAGACCGCUGCUCUCCUCCUUGCACUCUCCUUAGUCUGUGACAUCAUCUUGAGAUUGGCCUCCGGGGCGGAGGCCCCGACGGGGGAACCCCUUGGAGAGACUCGGGGGACCGAAAGUGGCGGAAAGCCGGCGGAGAUGGCAAAGACCGACGCGAAAGGCGC
RNAcentral lists this long non-coding RNA (202 nucleotides) under Elaeis guineensis (African oil palm). Its description in RNAcentral is "long non-coding RNA (EGUI_LNC043305)". Lineage: Eukaryota; Viridiplantae; Streptophyta; Magnoliopsida; Arecales; Arecaceae. The record is from RNAcentral.